CAGCCGCCGCGGGAAAACAGAGGGUGCGAGCGUUAAUCGGAUUUACUGGGCGUAAAGCGUGUGUAGGUUGUUGUUCAAGUCAGUUGUGAAAUCCCUGGGCUCAACCUGGGAACUGCAUUUGUGACUGUAUAGCUAGAGUACGGCAGAGGGGGAUGGAAUUCCGCGUGUAGCAGUGAAAUGCGUAGAUAUGCGGAGGAACACCGAUGGCGAAGGCAAUCCCCUGGGCCUGUACUGACGCUCAUGCACGAAAGCGUGGGGAGCAAACAGGAUUAGAUACCCCAGUAGUCCCUGUCUCUUAUAC
This 301-nucleotide ribosomal RNA is filed under the name uncultured bacterium. Its description in RNAcentral is "partial 16S ribosomal RNA". It matches the Rfam family "Bacterial small subunit ribosomal RNA", at positions 509 to 807 of the family's 1533-position model. The record is from RNAcentral.